Long non-coding RNA from Eriocheir sinensis (Chinese mitten crab), 437 nucleotides. RefSeq lists it as uncharacterized. The record is from RefSeq and is a predicted model, not a curated record. NCBI's taxonomy places the organism in Eukaryota, Metazoa, Arthropoda, Malacostraca, Decapoda, Varunidae. The transcript is spliced from 3 exons.
GUUAGGUUAGGUUAGGAUCAUCGGACAUAAAGAAUAGGCGUGAUAUAGUUAGGUUAGGUUAGGUUAGGUUAGGAUCAUAAAGAAUAAAGAAUAGGCGUGAUAUAGUUAGGUUAGGUUAGGUUAGGAUCAUAAAGAAUAAAGAAUAGGCGUGAUAUAGUUAGGUUAGGUUAGGUUAGGUUAGGAUCAUAAAGAAUAAAGAAUAGGCGUGAUAUAGUUAGGUUAGGUUAGGUUAGGAUCGUAGGACAUAAAGAGGAGGCGUGAUAUAGUUUGGGAUUAGUUUGUGUUUGCAUUUAAGAUCACGUUUUUGUUACAGUAAGGAGAAAUUUCAAGGGCAUAGGAAGAUAGGUAAGGCAAGGUAGUGCACUUUUUUUUUUUUUAAGAGGAGACGCUUCAGAGGCAUACAAAGAUUGAGAAAGUGGUUAAAAAAGGGUAGUUAA